GCGCAGCAGGCGAGAAUAGUCUACAAUGGACGAAAGUCUGAUAGUGCGACGCCGUGUGUGCGAUUAAUUCCUUCGGGAUGUAAAGCACUUUUCUAUGAGAUAAAAGCUCUUUAGGUUAAUAGCUUAUUGAGACGGAUAUUAUUAUAGGAAUAAGCUCCGGCUAACUCCGUGCCCAGCAGCCGCGGUAAUACGGAAGGAGCGAGCGUUGUCCGGGAUUUACUAGGCGUAAAGGGCUAGUAGGCGACUAAUUAAGUUAUAUGUUAAAUCCCACGGCUCAACUGUGGUCCUGCAUGUAAUACUGGUUAGAUAGAGUACUGUAGAGGAAGGCAGAAUUCCUGGAGUAGCGGUGGAAUGCGCAGAUAUCAGGAAGAAUACCAAAAGCGAAGGCAGCUCUGGCAGUACUGACGCUGAAUAGCGAAGGUGUGGGUAGCGAACAGGA
Molecule: ribosomal RNA, 439 nt
Filed under: uncultured microorganism
Description: bacterial SSU rRNA
Rfam family: Bacterial small subunit ribosomal RNA
Source: RNAcentral